GAUGAACGCUGGCGGCGUGCCUAACACAUGCAAGUCGAGCGAUUCUCUUCGGAGAAGAGCGGCGGACGGGUGAGUAACGCGUGGGUAACCUGCCCUGUACACACGGAUAACAUACCGAAAGGUAUGCUAAUACGGGAUAACAUGUUUUGAUCGCAUGGUCGAAAUAUCAAAGCUCCGGCGGUACAGGAUGGACCCGCGUCUGAUUAGCUAGUUGGUGAGGUAAUGGCUUACCAAGGCGACGAUCAGUAGCCGACCUGAGAGGGUGAUCGGCCACAUUGGAACUGAGACACGGUCCAAACUCCUACGGGAGGCAGCAGUGGGGAAUAUUGCACAAUGGGCGAAAGCCUGAUGCAGCAACGCCGCGUGAGCGAUGAAGGCCUUCGGGUCGUAAAGCUCUGUCCUCAAGGAAGAUAAUGACGGUACUUGAGGAGGAAGCCCCGGCUAACUACGUGCCAGCAGCCGCCGUAA
RNAcentral lists this ribosomal RNA (468 nucleotides) under uncultured bacterium. RNAcentral's name for it is "partial 16S ribosomal RNA". It matches the Rfam family "Bacterial small subunit ribosomal RNA", at positions 28 to 523 of the family's 1533-position model. The record is from RNAcentral.